UGGGGAAUAUUGCACAAUGGGCGCAAGCCUGAUGCAGCCAUGCCGCGUGUGUGAAGAAGGCCUUCGGGUUGUAAAGCACUUUCAGCGGGGAGGAAGGCGUUAAGGUUAAUAACCUUGGCGAUUGACGUUACCCGCAGAAGAAGCACCGGCUAACUCCGUGCCAGCAGCCGCGGUAAUACGGAGGGUGCAAGCGUUAAUCGGAAUUACUGGGCGUAAAGCGCACGCAGGCGGUCUGUCAAGUCGGAUGUGAAAUCCCCGGGCUCAACCUGGGAACUGCAUUCGAAACUGGCAGGCUAGAGUCUUGUAGAGGGGGGUAGAAUUCCAGGUGUAGCGGUGAAAUGCGUAGAGAUCUGUAGGAAUACCGGUGGCGAAGGCGGCCCCCUGGACAAAGACUGACGCUCAGGUGCGAAAGCGUGGGGAGCAAACAGG
Molecule: ribosomal RNA, 429 nt
Filed under: Chloroflexota bacterium
Lineage: Bacteria; Bacillati; Chloroflexota
Description: Chloroflexi bacterium partial 16S ribosomal RNA
Rfam family: Bacterial small subunit ribosomal RNA
Source: RNAcentral